Molecule: long non-coding RNA, 3303 nt
Filed under: Olea europaea subsp. europaea
Lineage: Eukaryota; Viridiplantae; Streptophyta; Magnoliopsida; Lamiales; Oleaceae
Source: RNAcentral
CCCAAACUCACCAACUCCGAUUACACCUAGGGUUGUGCAUCUCUGCCAGCCAAUUCGCCUCACCUAGGUGCUCCAAUUCAUAAUGAGACAUCAUCUAAAACAACUCCCAUUAUGCAGGUUUGCCUCGGGGCAAAACAAGGCAAUUUCGUCUCCUUCAAUUAAUGGAUUUGGGAAUGGUUUUUUUAUAAAAUUGGCAAGACAAGAAUCAUUAGCAGCAUCAUACGACUACUGGUAUGUCAUCAAUUGCUCCAAUUAAUGCCCCUAAUUGACCAAAUUUUUUAAUUUUAAUUUUGCCUUAAAUCGCAAGCGAAAUAAGGAAAUUCUUCCUCGUCCAGUUAACGAAUCUAGAGUUCUUUUUCCACCAAAUUGACUAAAAUCCUUCAACAACACUGGAGAAUGAUGGGUAUACCCUCAAUUGAUCCAAUUGUAUCACAAAUUGCUCCAAUUUUGGCUUCAAAUUCUACCCAUUCUACAUACAAAUGAGUUUCCAAUUUCUUCAGUUCCUGUUGGGUUUGAAUCGAUCUUCUGGUUUUGAUAUUUGGGUUGUGGCAAUUGCCUUAGAGAGGUGGUGCCCACGCACGUUGUCGGCGGCUAUGCCGACCGGCCUUUGUGCCCACCGCUAUGGGUAAGAGCUGGGAAAGAAGCUACCGGCUUCUAGCUUUUUAAUUUUUUCAUUAACUAACGGUCAGGUGGACGCUUUUCAUCCAUUUGGACGUCUACUGCAUAUUUAUAAAAGAUUCGAGACCUUCACUAACACAAAUUGAAGGUUAUUAUAAAGUUUACAAAAAUUGAAAACAUUGGGGACUGCUGUUGCAAUUUUUCCUAAUUUUUAAUCAAUAAUCAGCUAUGAAGGAUUAUGACCUUAAUUAUUGUUGGUACAAGUGCCCAAUAAUGUUAGGACCAAACUUUAAUUUAUAAUAUUAUGUUUAAUUUGUUAUAAAUAACUAUUUUGUUUAUUUUGAUUUAAUUGCUCAUUGCAUAUUUGAAUAAGCUAUUAAGGGCAAUCAAUACCUUUGUGACAAUUUAAGUUAUGUACUUGCGUAAAAAAAAUACAGAAAAUUUAAUAUAUUUCAAACGAAAAAGAUUUUGUCCUAGGCCAACUUAUAGAGGUUGACACUCUCCGGAUUGAAUGGUUACUUUGCCAGUUGGGAUACACGAUUUCUUUUAACCAUGUCGUUUGUCCAUUUUAGAGAAAUGACGACAAUACACUAGGACAAUGGAUCGAGUAAAUUGUUAAUUAGUUUAUAAUGAUCCAUGCUAAAAAAUUAAUAACACAAGGCUAUCUUAUGAAUUACAUUAAUUUAUUACUGGAUAAUAGUUACUGUUCAUGAACUAUAGUUCUUUUGAUAUGAAAAUGUAUGAUAUCAUUUAGUUAUGAUCAUCACAUCGAUAUGUUAGAAGUCAAUAGAAAUCGAAGUAUAGAGCACGAAUUUGCAUUCAAAUUUUAUCAAUUGGUUCAAUAAGUAAAUGCGUUCUCUUGUUUUCUCUAUAUAAUAGGUUAAAUCUGAGCUAUGUAUUUGGGAAGGCUCAAAUCAUUAAUUUUGUGAUCGUAUCAUGAAGAAACAAUUUAAGAAAACACAAGUUGCAAGUGCAACUAUGAGUAAAAGGGGAAAAUAGUCAUUUUUCCUUAUCUAAUUAUUCAAUAUUCAAUAGGGUAAUAGAUAUAGAUGAUGAGUCGAUUUGAAUAUAAAAUUAAUUUAUAAGUUCAAUUUUUGUCAUUAGUAAAAAAAUAAUAUAAACUAAAAAUAAUAUGGGAUAGUUUGAUUUCCUUGUCAAUGUAUAAUUAGUGCGAAUCAUGCUAUCCAAGGGAUCGAUGUGGUGCCCCACCUAUUCGAACAGGGCCGACUUGGCCCUAUUAGAACAACUGUACUCUAAUUAUAGCAGCAUAAAUUAUAUAAGUUCCAUUAGGUCCCUUUGAUAGAUUUAGUAUGAAUUCUGAACCUAAUUACAUAAGUAAUAAUAAUUCAGGACCUACAUCUUAAAAAUGGCAAAGUAGAAGUAGAUAUUACUUAAAACUCGAGGAAUGGGGAAAACAAGACGUAGCCUAUGGCUAGGGUAGGGCGGUGCUGUAGGCUUUUCCACGUUAUAGAGAAGAGAGAGAUUUGGGGCACAUCCGGCAAUUUACCUCCCUCACAAAGUUUUAGGAGCGGGGCGGUGGGGGCCCUCAAGAUUGGGGUUCAACCUUUUUUGGUAUCUUCUUUUCUUGUCUGAUUCUACAAUGUCGGUGUUCUUGAUUUAUUUUUUCUUGAGGCACCUAUUCCCGAAAUGUAAUUUAUUUUUUGAAAGUAUAUUGAAGAAAUUUUGAGGAUUGGAAGCUCGAAGUUUGAAUAUCAAUAUGCAUGAUUCAAGAACAUGAUUGAAGCAAUUGCUAUCCAAAUAAUAAUUCAAGAUUCAUGUUUGAUCACACUUCAAUUAAAUGUCGAAAUCGUUUGUGUUGGAUUUUUUGACCCAAAUUAUGUUGAAUUUUUGACAAAAAUAUAUUUUCAUUCAUUCUACGUAAUUUUUUUUAUCUUGUUUCCAUCUUUAUAGUAUUUUUUGGGUUUGACUUGAGAUCCUUGUAAGUACUAGACUCUUAUCACAAGUUUUAUAUGAUUAAAAUAUAGAAUAAUUGUGUAGGCACAGUUAUUGUAUUUGUUUUUUUCAUAUUGGUCAAUUGAAUGAAAUACUUCGUUUCUUUGCCUUUUAUCUUAUUGAUUAUUUACGAUCAUAUACUUCAUAUCAUGUCAUAUAUAUUAUCUCGAUCUGUUUCAUUUCCUAACAAGUUAUAUCAGAGUUAUUGAUUGUAAUUUGUUCAAGGUUUUUGUUAUUGAUGAUAGCUAUGAAGUAUGACAUUUUGCUCUUUGAUUGCAAUACAAGUUCUUGUUAUGACAAAUGAAAAUGGGAGCUGUAUUACACAGAUGGAUUUGGACGAUACAUUAUUGAGAUUUGACAAAAUGUCCACAACUUGGACAUGGAGGAGAAACAAUGGAAGAUCAGAAGGCACUUUUACAUUCAUCUUCAUCUCUCUAGCAAUAUUCUUGGGGAUGUUUUAAUGAGAAAACAGAAGCUGCGUUAUGGUUGAAAUUGAAAUAAUUAUACAUGAGUAAAAGUCUGACAAACAAAUUGCAUUCGAAAGAGAGCUUGUAUUCUCAUCGCAUGGUAGAAAGUGGAUCUUUGAAAGAUCAUUUGGCUAUAUUCAAGAGGAUCAUUGCUGAUUUGGAGAUUUUAGAGGUAAAGUACGAUAAAAAAGAUUUGGCCUUAAUCCUUUUGUGUUCGCUGUCCACUGCGUUUAGAGAUGCAAUCUUGUAUAGUUGUGAUACUCUU